This 1443-nucleotide unclassified non-coding RNA is filed under the name Hevea brasiliensis (rubber tree). The record is from RNAcentral. Lineage: Eukaryota; Viridiplantae; Streptophyta; Magnoliopsida; Malpighiales; Euphorbiaceae.
UAUACAUUUUGCUUGUUUUGCAUUAUAAUUGACUAUUUCUGUGAAAGAGCAUGUAAUGCCGACCUUCUAUUUGUUUAUCUUCUGUCGAAUUAGACUAUAACUGGAUUGAUCUUUCAAAUUCAGAUAAAUUUGAAUCUAGGUUUAGAUAUUUGAUUACUCAACCUUGAUUGAGCAGAUCGAUGAAUUCUAAUUAUGACUUGCACUUUUCCUUCUGUUGAUGAGGAAUUCAAAGUAUAAAAAGUUCUGAGGGCAGAACUUUUGUGUUAGCUGGGUUAACAGAGUAUCUUGGUGGGGCUGAUUUUCCUUAGUUGUAUUAAAGUGUCUCUGUAAACCAUAGAAUUGUCUCUAAGAAAUUGAUAUCUGAGUUCAUCAUGUUGAAGUCCUGUGCAUUUGGAUGUUAAAGCAUGAAAUUUGAUGGUUGUUGCUGUCGCAUGAAAGUGUAUGCAUGUGUUUAUUGCAUUUGUAUAUACAUGCAUCAUUUGUGUCCAAACUAACCUCUGAAUGUCAAUGAUCAAUUAGGGGUUAAAAUUUCAUCAACAUUUUGAGAACAUAAAUAAUUAUGUUUUCUUGAAGUAACUUUAAAACCUAAACUUGUUUUUGUCCUUGGUGCAAUGGUAAGGUGUGUUUCUGCAGGUCACAAUUUGAUAGCAUAGAAAUAGCUUCCUUGCAAUGAGCAGACCUCACGCAUGAGUCCCCCCUUUUCCCUCUUUUCUGAAGUUUCUUAAAGAAUUUGAUUUCUAUUUGCUUUAGAGUCCAUUUGCUAUUUGCAUUGCCUAGUAAGUCAAAAUAUGAAGUUCAUUGCCUCACGCAUGCCUGCACUCAUAGAUCAGGCAAAACUUGCAAUUGGUUUACUAUAAAAUGUUGCCAAUUAGAACAUCUGAACAUUUUAAAAAAGUAGUGUCCCAACUUUGUGGCUUUUUCUUAGGAAUCCUUUCCUGUUGAUUUAUUUAGAUUCUAUCACAUAAGUCAUCACAGCCAAUAUAAACCUGCCUCAAAUUCUUGAAAUUCAUUGAGUGCAGAUGACAAAACGUUGUUUGAUUUUGUAAAUGAGUAUGCUGACUAUGUGUUUGGCUGUUUCUUCAGUAAGGAUUAGGACAAUGAAGAUAACACAGAAACUGACCACGUCUCUUUUCAAAUUUUUGGUUUUGAGUUAUCAUUUAAUCCUGGAAAAAAAUUUUUAAUUCUUGUUAUAUUCAGAUUGUUUUACUGGGAAUAUAUGGCCUUAGGGAUCAUAAUUGGUGAGUCUAAUCACCAACCUGCCCUCCAAGUUGCCUUGUUGGUUAGGUAUUUUGCAAUCAGCAGCAAACAUGAUAUUUUGGCCUUGAUGUUCAAGUCAGGACAAAUUAUAUCACUGUUAGUCCAUCCGUAUUGUUGGUGCUGAUUUACAAGUGAGAGCUUUUGAAUUUACAUAUAUCUAAUUCUAAAAGGGGAAUUGGAUGCUGG